Molecule: small RNA, 148 nt
Filed under: Macaca fascicularis (crab-eating macaque)
Lineage: Eukaryota; Metazoa; Chordata; Mammalia; Primates; Cercopithecidae
Description: Metazoan signal recognition particle RNA (ENSMFAG00000065531.1)
Source: Rfam by way of RNAcentral
GCUGGGUGUGGUGGCGCACACCUGUAAUCUCAGCUACUUGGGAGGCUGAGGCAGGAGAAUCACUUGAACCCGGGAGGCAGAGGUUGCAGUGAGCCGAGUCGGUGCCACUGCACACCAGCCCGGGUGACAGAGUGAGACUCCAUCUCAA